UAUAUUAAUGAUAUAUAUUCCUUUAUAUUAAUGUGUUACAUAGUCAUGUAGUCUAUUGAAAAAACUUGCACAUACACACAGGAAACAUACGAUCGCUCAAACAAAUAUGAUAAUAUAAACAUGAUAAACACGUAGUAUUGCGAAUUUGCAUAUCAUCAUAAACAGAUAAUCCCUACCAGAAGAAAAAUACUAUACAUCAAGAGAGGGGUACUGCAUAUUUCAACACGCGAAGAUACUGACGAGAGAGAGAAAGAAAUUACAUUAAGUCUUGCACACGCAAGGAAAGCCUACAAACUUUAUGUUGAACAUGUCUGCUUUGAAAUUCUUAACAUCGGAACAGAAGCAAUUUUGGGAAGAGAAUGGUUACGUUAAAUUGAUCAACGUGUACUCCUUAAAGGAAAUAAACGAAAUAUCGGAUGCUUAUAAUGAAUUGUUUGAGAGGAAACGUUGCGAAAAUCUCGCAGGUCUGGAGUCCGCUUGGGUCGGAGAAGACAUGAAGAAAGCAGCUGGAUAUAUCGAUUACACCGUGAAGUCCAUUCACAACCUGCAGAUGCAUAGCGCUAUCUUCACUCGCGCUAUCACGCAUCCGAAUCUGUUGGACGCCCUCGAAGAUAGCAUGGACACGUCGGACAUUCUGCUGCACCACACGAAAGCGCAUAUAAAGCCGCCGGAAAAAGGCGCGCCUUACCUGAUGCAUCAGGAUUAUCAUUAUUUUCCUCAUAAAAAACACACAAUGUUGGCGAUAUUCCUACACUUGGACGACACUACGCCAGAGAAUGGAGGUUUAGCGGUGUAUCCGGGUAGUCACAAGCUCGGCCCAUUGACAGACUACGGUUUGACUGACGAGAAAGGUGACCAAUAUCAUUAUGUCAAUCCUGAGGAGUAUCCCUUGUCGAAAGCCAUGCCGGUGUCGGCUAAAAGAGGAGAGAUUAUCAUCUUCUCUUACCUGCUUCUUCACGGCUCGUACUUGAACCUGUCGUCCAGAAGCCGGCGUAUGUUCCUGCUACAAGUACGAGCCGCCGAUGACGAGCCCACUGAGGACGUGCAUAAAUCUCCUUGUCAAGGCCUGGUACUUCGUGGUAGAAACGUUCACAGAGAGGCAACGAUGGCCAGCCGAUUUACGCAUUAAUUCAAUCAUUCAUCAUAUGGUAAACCGACAAACUAAGCACAAAUAUUUGCUUUGUCUACAAUAAUCUAAUUGUAAUAAAAACGCGGAAGAGACCGAGGACACAAAUGCAAGUUUUUUCUCCUAUGGACGAAAUCGAAACGGAUUAGCGCGAUGAGUUUUUGUUUGAUAUUUGUGCUAUGGAGAAAGAAUCUAGCUUCUGGCUUGAGUUUCAGGUUUCAGGUUGUUCUUCCCCGAAGAAGUAAACUUGAAAUGUUGACGGAAAUCGAUUCAUGAACGAUGCGGUCGAACCAAUCUAGGAGCCAGGUCGAGGACAUCUUGUCCUGUGCGUACUAUCUUUCUUUUUCUUUUGCAGCUUUAUUUUGAUCUUGCGUCUGAGCCGUUGUGUCUUUCGAUAUUUCGAAAAUACGGACUCUCAAAAGCCUAAAGUCGUUGACUGUUGUGAAACGCACGAAUAGUACCACGAAUCCUGCUGACCAGCUCUAUAUCAUUAACCGAGACAUAAUCUUGAAACAGAACAAGAAAGGUAGCGUUAAUAAGCGCAUGGAUUCGACGAACUGUCUCGCCGCUCACACAUUCCUACUUCCAACGCACGAAAGAUUUUGCACACAUCGUGUUCAUCAUGCACGUUGUGGAGACUGUAAAGACUCACAUAAUUCUGUAGGAUGACGCAUUCUCUUCGGAAGAACGAACGUAAUUAGAACUCCAUAGGGUGCGCUUUAUGAAACGAAAAAAACAUGCCUGCUUUGGAGCACGUCUUUUUGAUAUCUUCAUGAAGAGCAAUAUCAAGUCUGCUCUGGUAUAUCCCUUUCCCAUAUUAUCCGUCGCGUACAAUGUUACUAUCGUCAAGCAAAAGUUGAAGAGCAGCGAAGAGUUGUGCUCGACCACAACUCUCCAUGGAGUUGUGAAACUGUAAAUACCGAUCACUAUGGAUUUCUUUGUAACUUUGCCUUUUCAAUACUGUAUGGAAAGUGUUCUUUCAUGGAUAAGCAAAUGCGAUGUCACGUAUUGUUGUUACUUGCGUUUCCUGGCAUCAUAGUCACCCCUACCACACAUGCAGAACAGCGUCAUCUACACGGUGCCGAAUAUGCAGGACAGGAAACAUACAGUGAAGUAAAAUUCACAAUGACUCCUGUAAAUAUAAUUAACGAUGUUUACAUAUUGUCUCUAGUCGGUGUAAUUUGACUUCAGCUCCACGGCAUGUUCGUGACGAGCAGACGCUCGUCUACAUUGCUUGUAGAUCCGGGCAGUAAAUCCAACUUUGUCCAGAGAGGAUAGUUAUCGCCGAAAAUAUCAUGCUGAACCAACGAAAAUUGUCCAUAAAAGAAAGAGCCAUUAUCUGUUUCUUCAGUUUCAAGCAGUAGAAAUAUCAGCAAGCGUUCCGAAAUCCGAUAAUUCGUCGAGCACAAUUUCGUUACUUAUUCGUUAAAAGGUCAAUUAAUCUAAUUGACAAAUAUAACGAGCGAUAAAAUAUAACGAACAAUAUUGUAAAUAAGUAUAUACCAUAAAAUUCUCCAAGAAAAAGCGAAAUCUCGAUUCAUGAUUGACAGAUGUUGCAUUCAUCAUAUCUACGUCAUUUUUAAAUUAAAUAAUCUUUUCCUGAUUUAAAUAAAUUCAUUUCUAAACCAGGAUUAAUUGGUCCGGUUCGUGUAGUGUGUGUAAUUUUGACGUUAAUAAAUCGCGAGUUCUGCAACUAAAAAUUGAAAAAACGGGCUAUAGUCAUGUUUCUUCCUGGAUGUGUGAGUGUUGCAGGAAAAAUACCCAUAAUAUAUAGAACAAGAUAGCGUAACUGUAUCCUGACAGAAGGCUGAAGGAAAUAGGCAAGGAUCUAGGCAGGGCUUUCCACAGAAAUGAUAUUUCCGCAAAGUCUCGCUCGAUCAGUUUGGAAUAUUCCUCCAAGAGUCGCAUUUUGGACUCUUGUUCGCACGACACGACGUUUGCGGAGAGAGACAGCAAAAAAGAGGAGCGUCACAACAGUGCAAGUGCAACAUAUUGUACGCGCGACAGUUACUUUGUUGAGUGGAAAGUUCUAACAUUGAUGUAACGUUAUUGUUCGUCGGUGUUGAACCGUGCGUAACCCCACAUUUCUCUCUCGCACUUCCUGCUAAAACGUCGCGUAAUUUUUCGUAAGAGCGCGCGGCUUUCGCUCGCGCAAAGAAGCGGGAAUUUGGAUUGAGUCCGCUCAUUUCCACCGUACCUUCUGCACUCCGUCACCUCCCUGUCUCGCUCCCGAAUACGGAUCCCCCGAGUGCGGAUCUACGUUGCUCCAAGAGUAGCGGCGAGUGCAGCUAGUUUGCGAAGAACGGCAGGAACGAGUCGCGAAUUUGACACAGGGCCAGGCAUAAAACUGCAGAAAGCAGCGCGAGAGACUCCGCAAGCGGCCUCGCGGAAGGAAAACGGAGGAAGCCGCGGAUUCGUCGCGAACUAUCGUCUCGCGAGAGGAGACACGCGAAAGUCCGUCAUAGUCCCGAUACGUUCCGAGAUACGUGCAAUGAAAUUCCGAUAUAAUCGGUUCGCCGUAAUAGCCCACGGCGGGCGAGCCGAGAGCAAGCGGUGAAACCGGUAUAAUUUCGGCAGAGCUCAGUUUCCGAGGCUAUUGGCACGCGAAAACGGACCUUAACACGAGCGAGCGCGCGCGCGCGCCCGCCCGCCCGCCGCGUUUCGCGUACGCGGGGGAUCGUUAUCGCGCGGGCGCGGUUAUCGCGAUCCGAAAUC
This 3841-nucleotide unclassified non-coding RNA is filed under the name Harpegnathos saltator (Jerdon's jumping ant). RNAcentral describes it as "probable alpha-ketoglutarate-dependent hypophosphite dioxygenase, transcript variant X1". The record is from RNAcentral. Lineage: Eukaryota; Metazoa; Arthropoda; Insecta; Hymenoptera; Formicidae.